AUACGUGAAAAUCACUAUAUACAUCUGUUUCUUGAAGUCAAGAGGUCUACAGAUUCUUCCCAACUCUUCCCUUAAAAACAACUAAACAUCAUGGAAAAAGUAUUUUAAACUCUCUUUUAAAAAAUAUAGUAAAGGGAUGGCAAUAAGAAAAAAGAAUGUAAGCAAUCAAAAACUCAGUAAACCUGAGAACCUAGAGGGAUAAAGAGGAAAAUGAAUUUGAGUUUCACCCUGAAGACACUUACCAAGUCUAAAUGAACUUAGUAUUGGGCUUUCACAGUCUCCCAGAAGACAUGAGACAAUGCCCAGGACCAACUUCAGAGGAAAGAAAAAAAAAUUGCUUUGGAAACCUACAACUACAACAAACUCUCACAUAGAUUUGUACACCAAAUUUACACUAGCUACCAAAUUUACACUUAAACCAGCAAAAGCUGGUUUAAGAUACAAGGAUUUUAAUCUCAAAUCUUCCUAACAUAGUAGUGCUCCAGAUGUAUGGUGGAAGUAAAUGCCAACCAUUUGUGGAGUAGACAACCCUCAGCCUACAUCUCAAAGGAAGGCAAGCUUAUAGAAAUUUCCAGUAUGAAAUCUACUGAGAUACAGUGGUGGAGAAUGUCUUUUGACUUUUACUUGAUACUGGCAAGCCAAAUGACUUAUUGUAAAGAGGAUCAAACACAAGCAACACUGCCAACUCACAUGGGAUUUGGCUCCAUCUGAGGUCAGGACCUCACUGCUAACCUCAAAAGGCCCACAGCCCUGAUUACAACUUCUGCCACCUAGAUCCUGAAUCCAUAGAUGCCAUCUCUGCUCCGAAGUCUGAUGACAAGAAUAAUGAUGAUGACUGAUGAUGACAAACUGUUCUAAAUGCCUUCUGUGUAUUAUCUCAUGCGAUCCUCAGAGCAACCCUUUGAAAGUAGAUACACUACUAUUCCAUUUCACAAAUGAGGAGGCUGAAGCCCGGAAAGACUUAGAAAAUUUCCAAGGCCUUAUCAAUAUUAUGUCUGAAGUAGCUUCAGACCACUUGUCUUCAUCACUCCCCAUUAAGCCUGCUGGGUUUUCCCUCUGAAGUUCUCCUAAAGAACAUAUCCACACUAAUUAUUCUGACAGUUUUGACAGGAAGACAGAGGAGGGCUUACACUAUGCACCAAUAGCAAACAACUAUUAAUAAAGUUUCAUAUUAAUUAUGUUCUCCAAAAUCCCUUCUUGACAAUCUUAUCCCUUCCAUGGCAUUUCUCUGUGUUGCCUCCAUCCAUAAACCUCAGCAGGUUGUCAGUUGUCAGCAACUUGAGAAUCCCCUGCAAACUUUUGGUUCUCUUUCCUCAAUUCUAUAGAACAUUCAGCUCUAUUCAGUCCUUGCUCCUUGGCUAGCCUACAAUACUACCCAGGUGUUCAGCUACAAACUGCCUUCCCCAGAAUGAAUACCACAUACUCAGAAGGUAAUCAUGGUAUAUGGUGCUGAGAUAUGGUGUUUCUAUUAGAAUUUGUUUCUAUGUGCUUACAAAGCCUUUAUAAUUAUAAUUUUAAUGGCUCACUAAAUUAUCUCCUGCUCAUGUUACAUAGUAAGCCAUUUUUAAUUGUUGAAUAUUUUGGUGGUUUUGUUUGUUUUA
RNAcentral lists this long non-coding RNA (1601 nucleotides) under Homo sapiens (human). RNAcentral describes it as "HSALNT0381120". The record is from RNAcentral. Lineage: Eukaryota; Metazoa; Chordata; Mammalia; Primates; Hominidae.